AAACGAACAACAAGAACAAAAAAAAUGUUGAUGCAUAGGCAUAAAGCCUAUUUUGGUACAAGCUUGUAUGGACACCUAUUUUAGAAGUGAACCAUAACAAGCCCAAAUGUUUUCUUUUCGACACUAACACUGCUUUAAUAGUAACUGCC
Long non-coding RNA from Oxyura jamaicensis (ruddy duck), 149 nucleotides. RefSeq lists it as uncharacterized. The record is from RefSeq and is a predicted model, not a curated record. The transcript has 3 exons. NCBI's taxonomy places the organism in Eukaryota, Metazoa, Chordata, Aves, Anseriformes, Anatidae.